Molecule: ribosomal RNA, 318 nt
Filed under: Humboldtiana nuevoleonis
Lineage: Eukaryota; Metazoa; Mollusca; Gastropoda; Stylommatophora; Humboldtianidae
Description: partial 16S ribosomal RNA
Source: RNAcentral
GUCCUGAUCUGUUGCCUAUAUUGCACUUGCUAGAGUAGGUGAAAAUACCCAUAACAGUUAUAAAAGGACGAGGAAACCCUAGAAAUUUUUUAUAAUAUAUAUAUUAAUAUUACUAUUUUGUUGGGGCGACAGAGUAACAUCUAAACUUACUUUAUAAUAUAUUAGAAUUUUAUAUAAUGAAAAACAAAAUUACUCUAGGGAUAACAGCAUAAUUAUUUAAUAGUUUGUGACCUCGAUGUUGGACUAAGGAAAAUUUUACUCAGAAGGUAAAAUAGUAUGUUCUGUUCGAACAAAUAACCCUUACAUGAUCUGAGUUCA